UACCCGCUGAACUUAAGCAUAUCAAUAAGCGGAGGAAAAGAAACCAACAGGGAUUGCCUCAGUAACGGCGAGUGAAGCGGCAACAGCUCAAAUUUGAAAUCUGGCUCUUUCAGGGUCCGAGUUGUAAUUUGCAGAGGAUGCUUCGGGUUCGGCUCCGGUCUAAGUUCCUUGGAACAGGACGUCAUAGAGGGUGAGAAUCCCGUAUGUGACUGGUCGCCACGCCCGUGUGAAGCUCCUUCGACGAGUCGAGUUGUUUGGGAAUGCAGCUCAAAAUGGGUGGUAAAUUUCAUCUAAAGCUAAAUAUUGGCCAGAGACCGAUAGCGCACAAGUAGAGUGAUCGAAAGAUGAAAAGCACUUUGGAAAGAGAGUCAAACAGUACGUGAAAUUGUUGAAAGGGAAGCGCUUGCAACCAGACUUGCCCGCGGGUGAUCAGCCGGUAUUCUUACCGGUGCACUCGCCCGUGGUCAGGCCAGCAUCGGUUUGGGCGGCUGGAUAAAGUCCACCGGAAUGUAGCUUCCCUCGGGGAGUGUUAUAGCCGGAGGUGCCAUGCAGUCCGCCCGGACCGAGGACCGCGCUUCGGCUAGGAUGCUGGCGUAAUGGUUGUAAGCGACCCGUCUUGAAACACGGACCA
Molecule: ribosomal RNA, 631 nt
Filed under: Acarospora rosulata
Lineage: Eukaryota; Fungi; Ascomycota; Lecanoromycetes; Acarosporales; Acarosporaceae
Description: partial large subunit ribosomal RNA
Rfam family: Eukaryotic large subunit ribosomal RNA
Source: RNAcentral